ACGAACGCUGGCGGCGUGCCUAAUACAUGCAAGUCGAGCGGAAUGAUGAAGAAGCUUGCUUCUUCUGAUUUUAGCGGCGGACGGGUGAGUAACACGUGGGCAACCUACCUUGUAGAUUGGGAUAACUCCGGGAAACCGGGGCUAAUACCGAAUAAUCCAUUUUGCUUCAUGGCGAGAUGUUGAAAGACGGUUUCGGCUGUCACUACAAGAUGGGCCCGCGGCGCAUUAGCCAGUUGGUAGGGUAAUGGCCUACCAAGGCGACGAUGCGUAGCCGACCUGAGAGGGUGAUCGGCCACACUGGGACUGAGACACGGCCCAGACUCCUACGGGAGGCAGCAGUAGGGAAUCUUCCACAAUGGACGAAAGUCUGAUGGAGCAACGCCGCGUGAGUGAAGAAGGUUUUCGGAUCGUAAAACUCUGUUGUAAGGGAAGAACACGUACGAGAGUAACUGCUCGUACCUUGACGGUACCUUAUUAGAAAGCCACGGCUAACUACGUG
This 499-nucleotide ribosomal RNA is filed under the name uncultured bacterium. Its description in RNAcentral is "bacterial SSU rRNA". It matches the Rfam family "Bacterial small subunit ribosomal RNA", at positions 29 to 507 of the family's 1533-position model. The record is from RNAcentral.